AAGGAAAGGUGAAAAGAACCCCGAGCAGGGGAGUGAAAUAGUUCCUGAAACCAUACGCCUACAAGCGGUCGGAGCAUCUUACGAUGUGACGGCGUGCCUUUUGCAUAAUGAUCCUACGAGUUACCGUCACUGGCGAGGUUGAGUGUCAUGAGACACGUAGCCGCAGUGAAAGCGAGCCUGAAGAGGGCGCACAGUCAGUGGGGGUAGACGCGAAACCAAGUGAUCUACACUUGGCCAGGAUGAAGUCCCGGUAACACGGGAUGGAGGUCCGCACCAAUAAGCGUUGAAAAGCUUCUGGAUGAGCCGAGUGUAGGAGUGAAAGGCCAAUCAAACUUGGAGAUAGCUCGUACUCCCCGAAAGGCAUUUAGGUGCCGCGUCGG
RNAcentral lists this ribosomal RNA (380 nucleotides) under Stenotrophomonas maltophilia. Its description in RNAcentral is "partial 23S ribosomal RNA". It matches the Rfam family "Bacterial large subunit ribosomal RNA", at positions 506 to 885 of the family's 2925-position model. Lineage: Bacteria; Pseudomonadati; Pseudomonadota; Gammaproteobacteria; Lysobacterales; Lysobacteraceae. The record is from RNAcentral.